RNAcentral lists this ribosomal RNA (347 nucleotides) under Discheramocephalus sp. IBE-AN361. RNAcentral's name for it is "partial 12S ribosomal RNA". The record is from RNAcentral. Lineage: Eukaryota; Metazoa; Arthropoda; Insecta; Coleoptera; Ptiliidae.
UAAAAUGUAAAAAAAAUAAUUUAAUUAGUAUUAGUUAUAUUCUUGAAAAUUAAAAAAUUUGGCGGUAUUUUAAUCUAUUUAGAGGAAUCUGUUUUAUAAUUGAUAUUCCACGAUAAAAUAUAUUUAUUUUAGAAAUUUAUAUAUCGUUGUUAAUAAAUAAUUUAAUAGAAUUUAUUUAUAAUUUUUUAUAAGAAUUUAAAUCAGAUCAAGGUGUAGUUUAUAAAUAAAUAAAAAUGGAUUACAAUAAGUUUAUUUAUAUGAAUAUUAAUUUGAAAUAGUUAAUUGAAAGUGGAUUUAAAAGUAAUUUUAUAAAAUUUAUUAGAAAUGAUUUUAGCUCUAAAAUAUGU